This 371-nucleotide ribosomal RNA is filed under the name uncultured bacterium. RNAcentral's name for it is "bacterial SSU rRNA". It matches the Rfam family "Bacterial small subunit ribosomal RNA", at positions 527 to 898 of the family's 1533-position model. The record is from RNAcentral.
GUAGGGUGCAGGCGUUAAUCGGAAUUACUGGGCGUAAAGCGUGCGCAGGCGGUUUGUUAAGACAGGUGUGAAAUCCCCGGGCUUAACCUGGGAACUGCGCUUGUUACUGGCAGACUUGAGUGUGGCAGAGGGGGGUGGAAUUCCACGUGUAGCAGUGAAAUGCGUAGAGAUGUGGAGGAACACCGAUGGCGAAGGCAGCCCCCUGGGUUAACACUGACGCUCAUGCACGAAAGCGUGGGGAGCAAACAGGAUUAGAUACCCUGGUAGUCCACGCCCUAAACUAUGUCAACUGGUUGUCGGGGAAGCAAUUCCUUGGUAACGAAGCUAACGCGUGAAGUUGACCGCCUGGGGAGUACGGCCGCAAGGUUAAA